CCAAACCAAGCCAAAGCCGGUUUUCGGUCAACUUGUUCAACUUCGCCUUGACUGAGUCGCACGAACGUAGGAAUAACAAACCUCGUCAGCUCCUCUCCAGUCAGUGCUGGUUUAGCCGUGGUGACAAUAGACAGCGCGAUGUUGUCGUUUCCCGUGAUCGAAUGAGCGCGCGAGUGAUAUUUCUGAGUCGGAAACCGUCUUGUCGUUGGUUGGUCAAGAAAAGUAGCGUUUUGAUUGAUUUAAGAUUGUUUUCGGACGUAAAACAAACGCGAAGGUUACCAAACAACCGAAACAUUGCCGUGAGAUUGAUCGAUGUGUGUUCUUUGUGACCAGUACAGUAAACGAGGGUUACGGCGGUGACCUUAGCCUGAACUGCGGUUCCACUUGCCGCCACACUGACUGGCGAAACUAAAGAAGGCAACAAAGCUUCAUCGUGAUGAAUUUGUUUAGCCUCCGUGUGGUUUACUGUUUCCAUCAACCUCUGCAAGAGGAAGUGCGAGUGCGAAAGUGAUUUUUAUAUUAAAGGUGUUUACUGAGUGCGUGUACCGAGUGAUCAACGAGGAUAAAGGCAAGGCGAGCAGCAAGCAAGUUGAUGAUAAUGGGAGUUUAAUCCAAUUUGUGAUAAUAAAUCAGUUCGUUUACAUUGCCGCUUUGCGUUGCGUGAGCUAGAGAGCGAGUGAAGUGUGGUAUCUCGAAAUCUUGAUUCAAUCACGAUUCACAUCAGAGAAGAAAAACAGCGGAAUUGCACCCUCGAAAGAACGAGUUUGUAACGGGAUAAUAGAGGCGUUUUAAAUUUGGAGCUAAAGCACGCAUGGCGCGUAUAAAACGGUGAUGGUAGAAGACUUGUCAACAAGAGGCCAUAUGUCAAGUCAAGUGAGCUGUGCAUGCUGAUAAGAAGAGCCAUUCUUCAUCUUCGACUGAUAUACACCUCGAUACAGCACCAUUCCAGUCGGCGGGCGUUAGUAUUUUAGUCCAUCGGGGAAAUGUACAGUCGGCGCCAACAGGCAGACAAUAUUAACCUUCUAAGGUGUCCAAGAAAAGCACCAACCGCGAAGCAAAAGCAACGACCAUUAAUUAACAAAUGAUCAUGCUGUACCACUCUCAAAAGCGCUGACGGACACGCGAAUGACAGAUCUGUAGCAAAUAGACCGAUACCCGAAGCCCAAUCACCGCUUUUUAAGGACACACGUGAGCUCCAAUAAAUGCAAUCGCUAAUUAACCAGAGAUAAUCAUACAGCGCACGGCAGCGGCGCUACGGACAAUGCGCCGAGUGUGAAACGGAGACCCUCGAGCCCCAGAUAGAGAAGGUGUGCUCAGUCAAAUGUCCGAAACGCCAAAAGGCAUUUAGAAAGAGAGUAGUGUAACCAGAUAUACACACAUAGCUGGAAGCGUACAUAAAAUAAAGCCAGAAAAGGCAUUAAAACAUGACGACGAUGGCAACCGACAGCAGAUCGGUAGCGGAGAGGCUGAGCAGGCACCUGCUUUCAUACCUGAUCGUCCUGAUAGUGUUAGUUAGCUGCUGUUUAGAUAGGACUGACAGUUGGGCACAAGAUGGCCUGGCCAAGUCAUACAUUACAUACGAUAACACGAUACCAGCCUUUUUCGGCAACAGCACUGAUUACUUUAAGUUGCUAGAUCAGAACGACAACUCGAUACUGAUAGGGGCGCGGAACGCACUCUACAACAUUAGCCUUGACCGGUUAAUUGAGCAUCCGAGCCAGAGGGUCUCGUGGACCUCGUCCGAUGCACACCGGGAACUGUGCACACUCAAGGGCAAGGCGGACCAGGACUGCCAGAACUACAUCCGCGUGUAUGCGCGGAUAGGCGCAAACAAGAUUAUGCUCUGCGGAACAAAUUCGUACAAGCCUCUGUGCCGGUAUUACUAUCUUCUGCCCGGCAAUGGCUCAAUUGCGUACGACAACAAUGAGAUGGAAGCCUUGGGGCGAUGUCCGUACAAUCCCUUACAUAACAGCACUUAUGUGUUCACCGACGGCCAUCUGUACUCGGCCACGGUAGCGGAUUUCUCUGGAGCGGAUCCGUUGAUCUAUCGCGAACCACAGAGGACGGAGCAGUAUGACAGCAAGCAGCUGAAUCAGCCGGCCUUUGUGAGCGCUGUGGAACACAAUGGCUAUGUGCUGUUUUUCUUCCGUGAAGUGGCCGUAGAGUAUAUGAACUGCGGCAAAGCGAUUUAUUCGCGCGUCAGCCGAGUCUGCAAAAACGAUAAGGGUGGGCCACAUCCGUUGAAUGACCGGUGGACGUCGUUCCUCAAAGCCCGACUUAAUUGUUCGAUACCGGGCGAAUAUCCGUUCUAUUUCGAUGAGAUUCAAUCAACCACCAAGACGAUUAAUGGUAUCUAUGGCGGUGACACGAAUCAGAUCAUUUACGCAAUCAUGACCACCCCGGAGAACGCCAUCGGAGGUUCAGCGGUUUGUGCCUUUGCCAUCCAAGACAUUCUGGAUGCUUUCGAGGGUCCAUUCAAAUGGCAGCAGAGCAUCAACUCCAAUUGGCUCCAGGUUCCCCAAAACCAGGUGCCGGAACCACGCCCAGGAAAGUGUGUCGAUGACAGCCGCACCCUACCGAAAGCUUCGGUAAAUUUUGUCAAAAUGAACACCUUGAUGGAUUCCUCCGUGCGGUCGUUGCACUCCCGACCCGUUUUCACACGAGUUAGUCUCCUGUAUCGGUUGUCUGCUAUCACGGUAGAUGCCCAAGUGAAAGCGCUAAAUGGCAAAACGUAUGACGUGAUCUUCGUAGGAACCAGCGACGGAAAGGUCAUUAAGUUCGUUAACAUAAUGUCGUCCAACUCGACGGAUGAGGUCAAAACAGUUACAAUCAGUGAAACACAAGCGUUCCCAAUUGGCACCAAGGUGAACGAAAUGACUAUUUCGAAAAAGAAUAAGAAACUCGUUGUUGUAAGCAAUGGAAAGAUAAUUUCACUGCCGCUUAGUAAUUGCAAUGAGCACGAAUUCAAAUCAUGCCGCAAGUGCCUCGAGCUGCAAGAUCCCUACUGUGCUUGGGACGACGAGAACCGUGAAUGUCGAAACGCCGAUGAACUACAUCUAAGUAGUCGAACGAUCAGUCGUUUCUUCCAGCGGCUGGAUGGAUCGAACGUCAACGAUAUUUGCAAAAAGUACGACCAACGUGAUCAACGACAACACACCAUGGAUGAUAACGACGUCUACACCAGAGUCGAUGGCUCUGGUUCGGCGGAAAAGGACAGCCCGCUGGAAACAAAAAACAUCGUCAUCAUCCAAGGCACUGUGUCCUCCGUGGGCUCGGUCGACAUUGAUAAUGAAAUAUCAAAAACCUCGAUCGAGGGUAGCGUGCUGACGAACAAAAUUGGAUCCCAUCCGUACCACCAUAAAACAGAUACGCUCAUCAAAGAAAACGUAUCGAUGGCCUCGUUAAGUUGGCAGGUCAGCAUAAUAUUGGCGGUCCUAUCGGCCAUCAUUGGUAUGGUAAUCGGUUUUUGCAUCACCCGACGAGUAAUCAGUAAGCAGUCCUUUCAUGGCAGCGAGCAUCGGAAUCAACUGAAUUGGCAUCAUACUAAGAAUUUGAGCAUGCUCUCGCAGAACCGCACCAGCGGAAAGGACGUAAACCUGCUGAUGAACACAAACUCGAGCAAUCAGUACCACACACAGCAGCAAGCUAUUGUGCAGCAGCUACAGCAGCACCACCACCAGAACAAUAUGAAGGACAACAUAGACUUCGAUUUCAAAGACCGGAGUGUCGAGUGUAAGAACUCGACGGAGAACCUGGAGAAAGACAUCAGCAAAGGCAUGGGCACGCUGCAGAAGGUGAAAAAGACGUAUAUUUGAUAGUUAAAGACUGCUUUCGGUGAUUGGGACAAAUAACCGCUGCUAGUGUAUGCAAACCUCCACUUUUUUCGGUACUACUUGUAAAUCAAAAUCAUGCACACACAAACACGCAAAAAAAAACAAAGUUGAGAAGGCCACAUACAUUGGCACCUCCCUUGCGGUUGGAUCGCAAAAUUCUAUAAUUUUCUUCCUGCCUGUGAACUAGCGUUCUACUUCUACGACUAAGGAAAGGUACAGGGAUGGAUGAUGUCUUCAUCUUGUGAUUGUGCUAGAUUACUCCUAAUGCCGUUUCACCAAACGCCACCACAGCAAAGACUCCACAGUUGAAGACAUUCAAGCCUUAGAAGAUACAGAGAUAGUUGAUGUGAGUGAAAAGAAAGAGUGUGAUUGAAAUCCAAGUGCUGCCGUCGAGUUUUACCAGUGCAUGUGAAAGGUAAAACAGCGAUGGAUCGUAUGAUAAGCGAAAUACCGAACAGAGUGGCGUUAGAAAAUGAUUAGAAAACUUUGUGAGAGACUGUGUGCCUAGCACAAUCAUCCCCAGCCAGCAAGUAUGCCACGUUUGGUUGAAGUAGAGGCCUUACUCUGAAACAUGUGCCCAUUAUUCUACACAGGGAAUAUCAAACAGUGCAAACCACAAAUCCAGCAUAUGUCACUAGAAAAUCCAGCGCAACCAUUCUCCCCUAGAGGCAAAGAGGCUAUCGACUACUAUUCUCAAUCUGUGAAUCUUUUCAUUUGUUUAGCGAUGCACUAGUCUAUUCAAAUUAUGUACCUGAUUUUAGUUGAAAGACGUUUUCUUCUCCACACGAUAUUGAAUAUACAAUUGAUUUUUAUUUGUAUUUAA
Armigeres subalbatus is the source of this 4656-nucleotide RNA transcript. It is a transcript of the gene named semaphorin-1A, with no coding region annotated. The transcript is spliced from 9 exons. NCBI's taxonomy places the organism in Eukaryota, Metazoa, Arthropoda, Insecta, Diptera, Culicidae. The record is from RefSeq and is a predicted model, not a curated record.